Molecule: long non-coding RNA, 6829 nt
Organism: Ctenopharyngodon idella (grass carp)
Lineage: Eukaryota; Metazoa; Chordata; Actinopteri; Cypriniformes; Xenocyprididae
Exons: 5
Source: RefSeq, a predicted model, not a curated record
UAUAUGAGGCGAGGCGAGCCUCUUAAAGCAGCCGUGAGUUGAGCACCUCUUUUUAGGCUUUUUGUAAAAAAAAAAAAAGGCCACCCUUCGGAAAUGGACUCUACCAAACUCCCCCGCCUCUGUUCGUGACUUGGACUGUUCCAGAAUUUCCGGGGAGUUGGAAAACAAGAUGUUAUGGAGAGAGGCUGCGUAGAUGUGCUUGUUUAUUGUAAAUAAGUUAAAUUCGUCAGAAGUGUUGCAAUCCAAAGAUUAAGGAUUAUGUGUGUGCGUGCAACUAAUUUUUUAGACAAGCGUUGAGGUGAGCGGACGAGAAGCUGGACCGAGCUUGUGCUGUCGUGAGUUGUGACCGAGCCUGAUCGCCGAGAAACUGAACUGCAUGUCUGUGAUAUACCAGGAGGGGCAUUGCUCAUCGUGCUAGCGGAGAUGGUGUGUUGGCACGGGUGUUCAUCUUCUACUGAAGGGAGCUGAGAUACUGUGAGUUUUUCUUCACUGUUGUUUAACCACAGUUUCUAUUCUGAAGAAACACACGGACGUUAUUUGUUGUUCUUGAAGCAAAGCAGCUUGGAUCGAGUGAUUUUGCUACUGUUGUUCGAGCCGAAAUCCUCGUGCGUCGUUUUUCAUACAAUAGUGUCGCCGUGUGGACACAAACGGCAUUGCGAACUCAUUGACGCUCUUCUUUUGACAAUAUUUUUCCUUCUAUUUUUCAGUUUAUUUUUGGACAUUUUGCACUGUUUUCACUUGGAGACUUUGAAACCCUUUUUGGAUGGACAAUUGCAUAGACUUGAGAACUGAUAACUAAGUUUGCACGAAUGAAUGGAUCCGAAUUACGCUGUUUUUGAUUUUCUUUGAAGGGACUGUCCACCAGAAUCUUUGUGAAGAUUUUAUUAUUUUUUUUUAAACAUUAUUUUUUUUCUUGAACAUUAUUUUUCCUGUCGUUGAAGAAACGGAAGGGACUUUCUGUUUUUGAACAGGUGGCUAUUUGUUUGAUUUAAUUACCCUGCCAUAUCUGGACACUCCAACACCAGACCAGUUCUACUGUGAGGUAAAACUUUAACUUUGGGGUUGUGAAUCUCACUCAGGUAUGUGAACUGCAAAUAUCUGAUAUGGAAUGAAACAUCUGUAAUGUACUUUUGAGUGAACUGAGUACCAUCUGAGCAUUCUAUCAGAACUGUUGUUGUUUUUCUGAUUUUGAGUAUUACUGUUGAAAGAGAAGAAACUGAACAAAAGUUUGAAUCUGAACAAAACUUUAUUUUUUAUAUAUUUCUUGAAAAAUCGUAAGAGAGUGAAACAAAGAAUUUAUUUCAGGACUGUUGUUUUCUUUAUUUUGUUUAAUUCUGCUAAACAUUUAAGAAAUAAGUGUAAAACUUUGAUAUCUUGGAGUAGGGGCAUUCCUACUGUCUUGUGGUCUGAAGAGGGGAAGAGGGGUUAAUCAACACUGUUAUACUCUGGGGAGCUACCGUGUAUGUUAAGUUCCAGAGCCUCAAUCCUCAUCAGUCGCUGCUACAAAAGACAAAAGCAACAUUAGCAAGGCAGACAACAACAUACUUAUAUAUAUAUAUAUAUAUAAGUACGGGAAUUAAUCGUACUAGGGGGUGAGGACCUAGAUCUUGUCAAUGCCUAGUCAUCCAAGAUAUAUUGCAGCUGAAGUUAAACUCACCCCUACAUUGUAGUGAAAUUCCUCGCUACACCUCUUUUAAGCCUUUUUAAAUAAAAACAUCUAGAAUCUCAGUAUUAAUCGGGUGACUAUCGUCACUCAAAGCCUUUGAUGGCAUCAGUCCUUCAUCAGUCUCUCUCCACCGGAUAAACACACGUGAUCAUCUGUCCCUGUAACAUCAGACAAGAUUCAAGUUUCCUCUGAGAUUGAUGUGCUCAACACUACAUUCACAUGAUGAUGAUGAUGAUGUGUUAACUCUCUUUUUAUCAACACAAAUGUUCCUUCAUUUAUUAACAGUACUAACGGACAAAUAAAACAGAUAACUUAUGUCUAGUUACUGUAGAUUUGUUUACUUUAUUUUCAUUCAUAUAUAAUGUAAUCAGUGUUGAAUUCUUCAUAAUAUCGCACACACACACACACACACACACACACACACACACACACACACACAUCACUCAGAUUCAUGUUGUGACGAGAUCAUCAUCUGCAAUACUUACUGAAUAUUGUCCUGUCAGAUGUUAAAUAAACAUUUAGUAAAUGCUUAAAAAGAUCAAAUAAUAAAUCAAAGUUUCAAAACAGCUGCUCAAAUGAAAUUUCAUUUCCUCAUUCGGGAAAGCAUGAACUGUAUCAAUAAUCAAAUUAAAACUCAUUUGUAUUUGUAUAUAUUUUUAAUUUUCAUUAUCAAUCCAGUAUAAACCUUUGAACUUUUAUACUUGAAAUUUGAACUGGAGAGAGCAGGACUUGGAGGAAAAAAAAUGAUGUUCUCUGACAAAUACUGUUGUUCUUCGGAGUUCAAUCAGGAACUCGUACGCCAGUUCCCUAAGCGGGGUGAGGGUGGUGGCUUUGAGCUGUUAAAAAUGAGAGGCUGCACCAGGACAAAAAUUCCCAACACCCUACAUUAUGAGAGCAGCAGCCGAGCAGGAGCAGCAACAGCAUUCCCAUUCUUCAGAGCAGAGAGCAGCAACAGCAUUCCCAUUCUUCAGAGCAGAGAGCAGCAACAGCAUUCCCAUUCUCCAGAGCAGAGCAGGAGCAGCAACAGCAUUCCCAUUCUCCAGAGCAGAGAGCAGGAGCAUCAUUUUUAUCAUAUGUGAUCCUGGAGCACAAAACCAGUCAUAAGUCGCACGGGUAUAUUUGUAGCAAUAGCCAACAAUACAUUGUAUAGGUCAAAAUGAUCUAUUUUUCUUUUAUGCCAAAAAUCAUUAGGAUAUUAAGUAAAGAUCAUGUUCCAUGAAGAUAUUUUGUAAAUUUCCUACCAUAAAUAUAUCAAAAAUGUAUUUUUGUAUGCAUUGUUAAGGGCUUCAUUUGGACAACUUUAAAGGUGGUUUUCUCACAUUUUAGAUUUUUUUGCACCCUCAGAUUCCAGAUUUUCAAACAGUUGUAUCUCGGUCAAAUAUUGUCCUGUCCUAACAAACCAUCAGUGGAAAGCUUUAGUCAGCUUUCAUGACAGGUUUUGUGGUUCAGGGCCACAUAUGUCUUCAAAUGCAACUGGGCAAGCUCAUGUCAAAGCAGACAGGAAUAGUAAAGAAAAUGUUCUCAUUGUAUAUUCACCCUUUUUCUGCAGAAUGUGUUAUCUUCGCUCUGUGAGUUCAUGCAGUACCAGUGAAUGGUGACCUAAAACUCUUCAAAAUACAGCGCAUAAAACUGCAGUGCAUUAAUUUAUGAAUUCAGAAAUGAUCAAAUCUGUGAUCCAAAUACGAGGCCAGCAGUCAUAAUUCUGGAUAUACAGUGGUGCUUGAAGCUCUGACAUCUAUCUAUCUAUCUAUCUAUCUAUCUGUCUAUCUGUCUAUCUGUCUGUCUGUCUGUCUGUCUGUCUGUAUGUGUCUGUCUGUCUGACAUCUAUAUCUAUCUAUCUAUCUAUCUAUCUAUCUAUCUAUCUAUCUAUCUAUCUAUCUAUCUAUCUAUCUGUCUAUCUAUCUAUGUUGAACACUGACAACAUGAUUAAUAUUCAUGAAGCUAGCAGCUCAUCAGUCAUUUGUGUGGUUCAUAUUGGUGUUAGUAGUAGAAUUUAUAGUGUUAUUGUCUUUUAAGUCUGGUGAGUAGACAAAAAAAUGACUAGCCAAUAAUGAUUCUACUGCCAAGGUGAUUUGUGUGUCUGUAACUUAUAUUUUCAGAUUGGAAAAUUGAGAGUGAUGAACAGCAAGCAGCAUACCAGUUUUGAAGAAACUUAUUACAUGGAGCUGAAGACCGGACACCCCUUCAGGUCACAACAGAUCUAACCAGCAGUGUGCAAGACAGAGAUAGACAGUUUCUGUCAUUCUACGAGUCAAACCCAACUGACUGGGCAUCCCCACUAUCAAUCAACCUUAAAGCUUGAAGAGCCAAGGGAUCUGACAGACGUGGAACGAUAGAGAGUGAACGAUCUUGCUUUUAGCUGGGCCAACAUUAACUAGAGAAAACCGGAAGUGGCUUGCAGAAACCGUUCUUCAGCAUGAGGUAUUCAGUAUUGUGAUGUAUUUCUGUGUGAAACGGACUGUUGAACGAGAAAGCUUGUUUGCAGUCGCACGAUUCUGAUGAAAUCUGAAAUUCAGAUGAGUGCAGGAAGUGAAAAGCAGAACGGACGAGAUGAAGUAAAGUUCGUACUGCAGGAUCAUUUCAUGUCAAAUCAAUCAAAUUUCAGAAACUUCCCUAGCUCAAACUUAGUGCUGGGCGGCAUGGGCGUCACUAGGCCCUUUUUAGGGAGGCUUCAGCCCCCCUAAAAAACUUGUGAUUGCCUCUGUAAUCUGUAACCUAAUUUGUGAUCGCUUCUGACCCCUUUAAAACAAAUGAAAGGGUGGCAGGCUUCGGCUUUGCCCUCGCCCUGCCUCAGUCUGUGUUAAUUCCUUUUCAAACUGUUCUGAAGCAUACUUGUUAUGCUAUUGUUAUUGUUAUUGACAGACGCUGCUAUAAGUCAAAUGGCCAUAAUUUAAGUGAUCACAAAAAUAAGAGUUCAGCCAUAUUACACAGCCUGCUGCUGAUAACUGCAUAAGGGGCCGUUCACAUAUCGCGUCUUUUGCUCGUGCAAAUUCCUUAUUUCAAAUGUAGGAGCACAUCAAGCGCACUCAUAAUAGGAGCGACGCGCAUACGGUGCGCUCGUUUUUUUCCAGGCGUGCCUAUGCCGUGACGAGAUGAAAACAUCUCAACUUUUCAGAAUGCCGCAAGCGCACCGCAGGUCAUGUGACAAGAACCAACCAAUCAGCUUCAGCCUUUCUGUAACAACACCGAAAGCUCAGCCGAGCAGCUGAUCAUAGCUGUACAGGGCGGGUUUUAUUUCUCAUCUCCAUAAAUAUAUCUAGUGUUAAAGCUAAUGCAAUGGCUAGAAAUCAAUGAAUCAAUUAAUCCUUUGCUGAUACUCCCUCAUCACGGUGGAGAGAGCAAUUCAUGGUUGCAUAGCAACGACAGACGCCGCGGGAGUGCAAGCGCUUGUAGAAAGGAGGAGAAAGCGGCGCGGCUGCGCUUUACACACGUUUUUAGACGUGAUAUGUGAACGGCCCCUAAGAGUGCACUGGCCACUGAUGAUGUCGUGGAGGCUAUGCUAGACACACAGUUAAUGAGGAAAGUUAACAUCCACACUUUAGCCAUAAGUUUCGUCUGAAUUGUACAUGCUACUACUAUUUUUCUGUGAAAAUGACUUGUUGCACUUAUGGUAAGCAUGGUCAACAUCAACUCUAAUAGGCUACAAUGUAAUUAUGCUUUGGAAAAGCUGUUUUCCCCGUGGUCAGCUGAAGCUGUGUGUGAACAAGGCUGCAGAAUGUGAGUUGCUCCGUCUCACACAGCCUCAGAGGAGAGAAAUUCUCUAGUAUCGUACAGAAAUGGAGUUGAUAACGCCGGAGAUUAUCUAUACAGCGCAGGCUAGUAUAAUUUAGCCGCUGGGCUCCUUACCAGGUGUUUGCAAUUAAACAGAGAAUCACCUGUGUUUUGAGCUGUGGUGUCUGGUCCGCACGGAUCCCUAUACUACACAUCGCAAUUUCGAUGCUAUAAAUGAACUAUCGUGCAGCCCUAAUUCAAAUGUACAUGAUCAUAAAAUAUGAGAAUUACCCGUAUGAAGUCCAUUGACUUCAAUGGAUUUAAUUAAAUUCAUUUGAAACUUAUAACUCAUGACUGCUCAAAAGAGUCCAAAUUUAUGAAACAAAACACCUUAAUCAAAUCAGUUUAUAAAGCUAACAAUUUUUAUUUAAAAUGUAAUCAAAAGAAAAUGUAUUAAUAAGUGUUUUUACUGUGUGCAAUUUCUGUAACUUCAAUGGGCAUUAACAAAUAGCUCAAAUACCCUAGGGGGAUAACAUAAGCCACAAAAAUGUGUAAAGUUUAUAAAUAUGUCCGUUCUUAAAAUCUGGUGUCUGAUUCUUUAGGUUAUCGGUCGCAGAGAGAAGCAGAUGAAGCAAAUCAAACGAGGUCUGAAGGAUACUGGGGUCCUGCUCAUGAUGAAAGAACGGCCUUCUCUCAUCACAGUGCUGUUCCCAAAAUCAUCCUUCCUGAACUAAUGGAUUGUUUAUGGCUCUGAAAACAUGCGAUCGUUAACCAGACUUCCCAUUUCCUAAAAACCUGAGCAUUUAUGCUGUUUUCUUUGUCCAUAGAUGGUUUAGAAAGAGUUAUAUGGCCAAUGAUGAGGAUGAAGAUGAAGAUGAGGAUGAUCACGAGGUUCCUCUGGAGUUGAAACGCCAGAUGGCGUCGUACCUCAGGAAGUACAUCGAAAAUGCUACAGCACUGGGUAUGGAGCAGGGUCGGGCAAUCCUCCCACAACAUCUCUAUGUGGAGGUGUCUGACUCCAUUAAAGUGAGAAAAUAAAGCUGCCUUCUCACGACACUCACUACAUGGACUUUCAGGCAGACUUAAAGCAGCAGUGUCCACAAGAGAACGUGGAUUUGGAUUAGUUUAAUCAUAUGGUGUGUUCCUGGGCUUUUUAAAUGAAGAGGCCAGUCCUCAACUGUUAGCCAGUGUGCUUUUGAUAGGACUGUUUAUUGAGAGAGAAAAAAUGUUAUUCAAAUGAAACUAAAUACUAGAUUUUAUAACUUCAUGUUCAUUUUUUCAUUUGUAGCAAGUUAAAUAAUGUGUAACUUAAAGUUGAAAUUUGAUGUAAAAAGUUAAAUGAGUAGUACUUUAAUAUUUGUACAAAUUUGUUCGUUUAAUCAAAUGUAAUGAACAGCCAGUGCAUCAGGAAAACAUGUAUUUGUUCAUCAAUAAACAAUCUGGAUUCAAGGA